Molecule: long non-coding RNA, 278 nt
Filed under: Trifolium pratense (red clover)
Lineage: Eukaryota; Viridiplantae; Streptophyta; Magnoliopsida; Fabales; Fabaceae
Description: long non-coding RNA (TPRA_LNC014282)
Source: RNAcentral
UUAAGGUUACUCGAUAAAAAUUUCUUCCUUGAACCAAACUGAAACUGAUCCUAAGGUAUAUAUGCAUCACUAUUUCGUUCUUUCAACUUCACAAAAUAUGUUACAUAAAUGUAAGAUUCCAAGGUAUAUAUGCAUCAAUCAGAUUCUACUUGGUUUGUAGCAAACUAUAUAAUGUUUAAGUCAGUUUCAUAUAAAACAUUGCUCUAUCUGAACAAGAUAAUUGAUUUCAAUAUACAAACUAUAGACAAAAAUUUUGAAAAGAAAAAUGGGUAUUUAGU